This is a long non-coding RNA of Culex quinquefasciatus (southern house mosquito), 895 nucleotides long. RefSeq lists it as uncharacterized. The transcript is spliced from 3 exons. The record is from RefSeq and is a predicted model, not a curated record. Lineage: Eukaryota; Metazoa; Arthropoda; Insecta; Diptera; Culicidae.
AAGAUUGUCAAAUCGUCGGGAGAGUUUGAUGUUGUAUGUGGCCGCAGCUAACGGAAUCUAUUACAGGCGCUGGUGGACGACUUCUUAACAGUGAGAAACGUUACCGGCAACAACCGGCUCCUGCGGCGGUUGUUCUUGUAGAACUGAUAACGGUUGUUGUUGCGGGGAGCUACGCAGUUUCCACCGUUGCUGAAGGCGAUUCCAUAUUUACAUACCAAAUGUUAGGAAUGUCCACGAUCCUAACCCGGGUACGGGAGCUCCAUUAACCUAGACAACAGAGAAACUGGCGUAAGCGACAAAAUGCUGUGGGACGCUUCCGAUGCAUGCUGGAGAAACCUGAACUAUGAUGAUCAUCACACCGAAAGAUUGUCGCGGCCUGCGGUGAUGAGCCAGUAAGGCUCGAGGGUCAAAUCGGCCAGUCCAUCCAAGACCAGAAACGGCUAUUUCGACCAAGCUAAAGGAACCUACGGCUGGAUAACUCGCUGCAAUCGGAUAGGUCCACUGGUCUACGAGCUGAGGAGGAGGACACAAAGCCGGACCAGGAGGCUAACCGCCCUUGAACGGAGGAAGUCAGUCAGCAACAAUUGGAUUUUGACGAAAGGACCAGGUGAACUCGGAGAACAUCGGUGCCUUACAAAAGCGUAAGCGGAAGCCGAUCUUUCUGCUGCAAAAUGGACCAAGGAUUGACCAAGACGUAUCAUGGAAAACUGUGCCACUCCCGUCACUGUCAGUCAGUCCGAGUGCCUGUCACGUUGAGAUCCUAUUUUGUAUGAAAAUAUAAUUUGAAAAAACAAGGCAAAUAAAAUCAAUGCUUUGUGCUCAAAAAUUAAACUUUUUUGCCAAAAAAAAAUCGAAUAAAACAUUUAAUAAAGUAGUAUUCCUGAAGAACCGCAUU